GUAAAUGCAAUAACACAUCAAUGGAUCCCAAAGAGAAUGGUGAAAUAUGUUAGAAGCAUUGUCAUCUAGUGAAAUAUGAUUUCUUAUGAAGUGAAAAUAUCUCAAAUCUACAUAGUGUGAUAAUAUGAUAGGAAACUAACAUAAAUAUAGCAGAAUAUUGGCUUAGUAAUAUUUUUCAAGAAUAAAUUAGAAAUUAAUAAAUCGAUGUGUGUAUUGUCUAGAAACCUUAUUGGUUAAUGCCAAGGUAGAAAUUUCAUCUAUAUGGAUAGGAUGAAUGGUGAAUUACUGAAUUUCCUAAACUGAAAACACCACAGAAAAAACAGAAAGCAGACAUCAUCAGUAUGAAACAUGCAAGUACGAAAGCAAUUAAUUCUUUCAUUUCAUUAAACCACCAAAAUAGUUAAAUAUAUAUUAAUAUAUGAGUGAAAAUUCGCAUCGAAAUAUUCAUCCUGAAAACACUGACUUAGAUUACAUCCAUAACCAAUUCAGCAUCAUGGACCAUCUCUUCCACAUAUAGCUGCAAGGUUGCAGAUAACAGAAACACUUAGUGGCAUUGUUACUGAGAGCAGGCGAGUCAUUGGAGUGUUUGGAAGAGAAUAAAAGGCAGCGGAUAGAGCGAGAACAAGGAAGGAUUACGUGAAGUAAGGAGGGUAGUUGAAGAAGGGAGGGAGCCUGAAAUCCCCCAGCCUCUGCAUCUCCGCAACUGCGCCCGCCCAAAAAACAAGUCCUGCAGGAAUUGAAAAAAUCAGGCUCUGCAGCAAUUGUAAUAUCAUCUCAGAAACAUGGAUUGAAAUCUAAUCGUUCAUAGAUAAGAAAAGCGAAGACGCAGAUCGAAACUUCCAAGUAAUCUCUCCUCACCUGAAGACCCUUCUCACUUAUUUUUUUUGAAACCCAAACCUUAAUAUCAUUAAACAUCAGGCCCAGCACUCAUGUCACGGACCAAAACAUCGUUUACAAAGGUUGGGAGGGGAGCUGUCCACAACAUAACAAGCUCCGGGUCCCCAGAUAAAGCAAAGUGAGCUAUAGAAUGUGCACCCGUAUUACAAAUACGAUUACAAUGCUUAACAGAACAAGAAAUAAAAUCUGAAAACAUAAGAUGUCUUAAUUCCUUAAAGAGCCAUCCUUCAACGCAUAGAUCAAAUGAUGUUGACUUCAGGGCUUUCACCAGGUUGAGGCAAUCGGUCUCCAAAAUAAUAUUGCCAAUGCCUAAAUCACGAGCAGCCUUUAGCGCUUCUAAACAACCAACAGUUUCAGCGUGCAUCGCUUGGAAAGCUUUGUAUAACUUCCCUGCGCCUGCUGCUAUACUAUCACCAGUAUGGUCUCUAAUGACAAACCCCCAUGCUCCUACUUUCAGCUCUGGUAGAAAAGCUCCAUCACAAUUAAUUUUGAGGAAACCUUCAGGUGGUGGAGUCCAUCGUUCUUGCAUCUGUACAGCAGCUGUAUUUCUUGGUUUCGUACCUUUCACAAUUUUCUCCCAUCCUGUCAUGCUCAUUACCGAGUGAACUAAUUCAUCAGUUGAGUUCCUUUUGUCACCAUUGAUCACUUUGUUUCUUACAUUCCACCAAGCCCAGAGUAAAUAAAUAAUCACCAAACGAACUGUCUCUGGUAAUUUAAUAAUUUCAUGGACCAUGUUCUGAGCCGUUGCUUCUUUUAACAGAUUUAAUCUGAAAUCUUCUAAACCAAGAGUCCUCCAACAUUUUUUAACAUCUUUGCAUUUUAGGAACAAAUGACCACCAUCCUCGUCAAACCGACUACACAUUGGACAACGUGUAUCUAGUUGCAUACCUUUCCUUUUCAAAUUUGAACGCAAAGGAUGACUGUUAUGAGCUAAUCUCCAUAAAAAAUGAACCACCUUCGGUUGGCAAUUCAGUUUCCAGAGGCGAGACCAAAAUUGUUGUACAUUCCUACUUGCUCCAUUUGUAGAUUCACCCAAUUGUCUCUGAUCCAUCAAUUCUUCCUUAUCUUUUAUAGUGUGAUAAGCUGAUUUCACUGUGAAAAGGCCCUUUGUAUCAGGGUGCCAUGCCACGUGAUCCUCCUGAUCCAUCUGAAUUGGAAUGGCAAGAAUUAGAUUUGCAUCAAUGUCCCAGAAAACUGCCUCAACAAGAUCUCUAUCCCAAAGACCAGUAUUAGGAUCAAUCAAGUCUGCCACCUUUGUUAAGAUAGUCCUUCCUUUUGGUGUCGCUGGUCUUUGAUUUGCCCCAUUCGGUAUCCAAGGGUCCAACCAGAUGUUAAUAUUUUCUCCGUUUCCCACUCGCCAGAUGAGCCCCUUCUGUAACGCUUGAACACCAUGAAGAAUACUUCGCCAUGCAUAAGAAAUCCCUGAUUUCUCUUUUGCCUUGAGUAGAUUACCAUGUGGGAAAUACCGUGCCUUCAACACUUGAGCACAUAAGGAAUCAGGGUAAUGAAUUAAACGCCAGCCCUGUCGAGCUAACAUGGCCAGGUUAAAACAAUGUACAUCCCUGAAACCCAUACCUCCCUUUGAUUUUCGUUUGCUCAUCAUCUCCCAGGACAACCAAUGAAUUUUCUUCUCAUUAUCCUGGUUCGCCCACCAGAAUCUUCCAAUCAUGGAGCUGAUCUCAUCACACAACGUUUUGGUCAGAUCAAAAACAGACAUCGCAUAGGUAGGCAUAGACUGAAUGACUGCCUUAAUGAGUACUUCCUUCCCUGCCUUGGACAGAAGUUUUAUUUUCCAGCCUUGAAUCUUUUUCCAUAUUCUAUCCUUCAGAUAUGCAAAGGUUUGAGCUUUAGAUCUCCCCAUAUAAACUGGCAGUCCCAAAUAUUUAUCAUUCAUGGCUUCAGUCUUUAUAUUCAAUUGCCUCAUCACCUCUUUCCUGAUACUCUGCUUGGUAUUCUUACUAAACAUGAUGCAUGACUUUUCCUUGUUUAUCAUUUGCCCCGAGCAAACCUCAUACAGUGAAAUAAUAUUUUUCAGGUGAUGCACACUGUGUUCAUCAGCUUUGAUCAGAAGUAGAGAAAAGACGAGGAAAACACUCCAAUCCUGAUGGAUCUGCG
Molecule: long non-coding RNA, 3012 nt
Filed under: Zea mays
Lineage: Eukaryota; Viridiplantae; Streptophyta; Magnoliopsida; Poales; Poaceae
Description: long non-coding RNA (ZMAY_LNC005049)
Source: RNAcentral